Molecule: long non-coding RNA, 572 nt
Organism: Homo sapiens (human)
Lineage: Eukaryota; Metazoa; Chordata; Mammalia; Primates; Hominidae
Product: long intergenic non-protein coding RNA 2923
Source: Ensembl
ACUCUGUGCUGGCGACUCUCAGGAAGACAGGGAAGAGUCUCACUCUAUCACCCAGGCUGGAGUGCAAUGGCAUGAUCUUGGCUCACUACAACCUCUACCUUCCAGUUCAAGAGAUUUCUCCUGCCUCAGCCUCCGAUGUAGCUGAGACUACAGGGCUACCUGGUUUCUGCCUGAGCAGCAAGUGAUGAAGGAGAGUGAGCGUAUGAGAGAGUAAGAGAGUGAGCCCAAUCGUGGACUGACCACACAAUUGACCCUGGUUUACUGUGAGAAAGGACACAGACUGUGAACACCAGGAGAAAAUCAAGAAAGGAACUGCUCUGUGAUUGUGGUCAGUUUCUGUGGCGCCAGCUCUUCCUGACUGCCUGACAACCACGAUGUACCAGGCAAGCUUGACUACAUUUCCCAGCGUCCUUUGGAGUGAGACUACAUCUCCCAGCAUCCUGGCAGUUAGACAAUUUUCUAGUCUCCUUUGCAGGGAUCUUGGAAGCCCCAUGUUGAAGGUGGCAGAGCAACAAAAAUUGAGGAAACCCUGAAUCCCUGAAUUACUAUUUGGAGAUGACCACCCACUAAUU